GCAGAGUACUUUCUCUAACCCUAACGCUUCUUUGCUUCCUGUACGGCUUGUAUGCUGUUUUGUCUUAAGCUUUCAGCAUAUUACAUGAAGCUUUCCGCGGUUUCGAUACUUUAAAAAAGCUAUAGAGUACUCUGGCGCUCGGUCUCACAGGUUUGGCUGUUUGUACGCGGACAGUUUGACUGCCGCCAAGAGUUCGGCUCUGCUGCACAUUCGGCAGGUCUGUGGACUGCACAACACUGAGCAGAUUAACUUGAGCAUGGCGAAGGUUUGCGGACCUCAAACACUGAUCCUGCAAAUACGCCACCGCUCAGACAUGC
RNAcentral lists this non-coding RNA (317 nucleotides) under Danio rerio (zebrafish). The record is from RNAcentral. Lineage: Eukaryota; Metazoa; Chordata; Actinopteri; Cypriniformes; Danionidae.